AAACAUCGAUUCACUCCCCGAGUCACGCAUGGAUUUCACGUUCAUCGACCAGGGAAAACGUAUCAUUAGAUCGCGGAAAUUAGUGGUUGGUAAGGUAACGCAAAGGAUGUCUGUAUGUGGUGCAAAAACAUCACUUGAGAAAGAAAUCGAUUGAAGCCCAAAAGAAGCGAUUGAAUGUGCUGUACACUAUUGCUCAAAAAGUGCAUGGAAAUCCUGUUUAUUUCAAUUUUCUCACGUAAGCCAGGUGGUCGAAGAGGAAGCGAGAA
Long non-coding RNA from Apis dorsata (giant honeybee), 266 nucleotides. RefSeq lists it as uncharacterized. The record is from RefSeq and is a predicted model, not a curated record. NCBI's taxonomy places the organism in Eukaryota, Metazoa, Arthropoda, Insecta, Hymenoptera, Apidae. The transcript has 2 exons.